UACGGCCACAUCAUUUUGAAACACCUGUUCCCUUACGAUCACCGAAGUUAAGCAUUGUCAAGCCUGGUCAGUACUUAGAUGGGUGACCCCUUGUGAAUACCUUGUACUGUAA
Acanthosepion pharaonis is the source of this 112-nucleotide non-coding RNA. The record is from the annotation of a GenBank genome assembly. Lineage: Eukaryota; Metazoa; Mollusca; Cephalopoda; Sepiida; Sepiidae.